RNAcentral lists this ribosomal RNA (496 nucleotides) under Veillonella parvula. RNAcentral's name for it is "bacterial SSU rRNA". It matches the Rfam family "Bacterial small subunit ribosomal RNA", at positions 28 to 493 of the family's 1533-position model. The record is from RNAcentral. Lineage: Bacteria; Bacillati; Bacillota; Negativicutes; Veillonellales; Veillonellaceae.
GACGAACGCUGGCGGCGUGCUUAACACAUGCAAGUCGAACGAAGAGCGAUGGAAGCUUGCUUCUAUCAAUCUUAGUGGCGAACGGGUGAGUAACGCGUAAUCAACCUGCCCUUCAGAGGGGGACAACAGUUGGAAACGACUGCUAAUACCGCAUACGAUCUAAACUCGGCAUCGAGGAUAGAUGAAAGGUGGCCUCUACAUGUAAGCUAUCACUGAAGGAGGGGAUUGCGUCUGAUUAGCUAGUUGGAGGGGUAAUGGCCCACCAAGGCGAUGAUCAGUAGCCGGUCUGAGAGGAUGAACGGCCACAUUGGGACUGAGACACGGCCCAGACUCCUACGGGAGGCAGCAGUGGGGAAUCUUCCGCAAUGGACGAAAGUCUGACGGAGCAACGCCGCGUGAGUGAUGACGGCCUUCGGGUUGUAAAGCUCUGUUAAUCGGGACGAAAGGCCUUCUUGCGAAUAGUGAGAAGGAUUGACGGUACCGGAAUAGAAAGCCA